This 465-nucleotide ribosomal RNA is filed under the name uncultured bacterium. Its description in RNAcentral is "bacterial SSU rRNA". It matches the Rfam family "Bacterial small subunit ribosomal RNA", at positions 338 to 795 of the family's 1533-position model. The record is from RNAcentral.
CCUACGGGGUGCACCAGUGGGGAAUAUUGCACAAUGGGCGCAAGCCUGAUGCAGCCAUGCCGCGUGUAUGAAGAAGGCCUUCGGGUUGUAAAGUACUUUCAGUCGGGAGGAAGGUGGUGAGCUUAAUACGCUCAUCAAUUAACGUUACCGACAGAAGAAGCACCGGCUAACUCCGUGCCAGCAGCCGCGGUAAUACGGAGGGUGCAAGCGUUAAUCGGAAUUACUGGGCGUAAAGCGCACGCAGGCGGUUGAUUGAGUCAGAUGUGAAAUCCCCGGGCUUAACCCGGGAAUUGCAUCUGAUACUGGUCAGUUAGAGUCUUGUAGAGGGGGGUAGAAUUCCAUGUGUAGCGGUGAAAUGCGUAGAGAUGUGGAGGGAUACCGGUGGCGAAGGCGGCCCCCUGGACAAAGACUGACGCUCAGGUGCGAAAGCGUGGGGAGCAAACAGGAUUAGAUACCCCCGUAGUC